This is a small nucleolar RNA of Grammomys surdaster, 81 nucleotides long. RefSeq annotates it as small nucleolar RNA U2-19. The record is from RefSeq and is a predicted model, not a curated record. Lineage: Eukaryota; Metazoa; Chordata; Mammalia; Rodentia; Muridae. The transcript has a single exon.
AAUCAACGAUGGAAAUAGCCAAGCCUGAGCAUCAGAGGACCUUCUAGUGUGCUUUGAUGAAUUAUCUCCAUAGUCUUGAGA